AGAGUUUGAUCCUGGCUCAGGACGAACGCUGGCGGCGUGCUUAACACAUGCAAGUCGAGCGGUAAGGCCUUUCGGGGUACACGAGCGGCGAACGGGUGAGUAACACGUGGGUGAUCUGCCCUGCACUUCGGGAUAAGCCUGGGAAACUGGGUCUAAUACCGGAUAUGACUUCAGGUUGCAUGACUUGGGGUGGAAAGAUUUAUCGGUGCAGGAUGGGCCCGCGGCCUAUCAGCUUGUUGGUGGGGUAAUGGCCUACCAAGGCGACGACGGGUAGCCGACCUGAGAGGGUGACCGGCCACACUGGGACUGAGACACGGCCCAGACUCCUACGGGAGGCAGCAGUGGGGAAUAUUGCACAAUGGGCGAAAGCCUGAUGCAGCGACGCCGCGUGAGGGAUGACGGCCUUCGGGUUGUAAACCUCUUUCAGCAGGGACGAAGCGCAAGUGACGUACCUGCAGAAAA
RNAcentral lists this ribosomal RNA (462 nucleotides) under Rhodococcus sp. RX84. RNAcentral describes it as "bacterial SSU rRNA". It matches the Rfam family "Bacterial small subunit ribosomal RNA", at positions 8 to 488 of the family's 1533-position model. Lineage: Bacteria; Bacillati; Actinomycetota; Actinomycetes; Mycobacteriales; Nocardiaceae. The record is from RNAcentral.